Molecule: ribosomal RNA, 1449 nt
Filed under: uncultured bacterium
Lineage: Bacteria
Description: bacterial SSU rRNA
Rfam family: Bacterial small subunit ribosomal RNA
Source: RNAcentral
AGAGUUUGAUCCUGGCUCAGGAUGAACGCUGGCGGCGUGCUUAACACAUGCAAGUCGAACGAACCUUCGGGUUAGUGGCGGACGGGUGAGUAACGCGUGAGAAUCUGCCCUCAGGAGGGGGAUAACGGCUGGAAACGGCCGCUGAUACCCCAUAUGCCGAGAGGUGAAAUGAAUUUCGCCUGAGGAUGAGCUCGCGUCUGAUUAGCUAGUUGGUGGGGUAAAGGCCUACCAAGGCUUCGAUCAGUAGCUGGUCUGAGAGGAUGAUCAGCCACUCUGGGACUGAGACACGGCCCAGACUCCUACGGGAGGCAGCAGUGGGGAAUUUUCCGCAAUGGGCGAAAGCCUGACGGAGCAACGCCGCGUGAGGGAUGAAGGCCUCUGGGCUGUAAACCUCUUUUAUCAAGGAAGAAGAUCUGACGGUACUUGAUGAAUAAGCCACGGCUAAUUCCGUGCCAGCAGCCGCAAAGGGAGUGGCUUACCGGAAUUAUUGGGCGUAAAGCGUCCGCAGGCGGUCUUUUAAGUCUGUCGUCAAAGCGUGGAGCUUAACUCCAUUUCUGCGAUGGAAACUGGGAGACUAGAGUGUGGUAGGGGCAGAGGGAAUUCCCGGUGUAGCGGUGAAAUGCGUAGAUAUCGGGAAGAACACCAGUGGCGAAGGCGCUCUGCUGGGCCAUAACUGACGCUCAUGGACGAAAGCCAGGGGAGCGAAAGGGAUCAGGUACCCCUGUAGUCCUGGCCGUAAACGAUGAACACUAGGUGUCGGGGGAAUCGACCCCCUCGGUGUCGUAGCCAACGCGUUAAGUGUUCCGCCUGGGGAGUACGCACGCAAGUGUGAAACUCAAAGGAAUUGACGGGGGCCCGCACAAGCGGUGGAGUAUGUGGUUUAAUUCGAUGCAACGCGAAGAACCUUACCAGGGUUUGACAUCCUGCGAAUCUUUUGGAAACGAGAGAGUGCCUUCGGGAGCGCAGUGACAGGUGGUGCAUGGCUGUCGUCAGCUCUGUCGUGAGAUGUUGGGUUAAUCCCGCAACGAGCCAACCCACGUCGUUAGUUGCCAGCAUUUAGUUGGGCACUCUAGCGAGACCGCCGGUGAUAAACCGGAGGAAGGUGUGGAUGACGUCAAGUCAUCAUGCCCCUUACAUCCUGGGCUACACACGUACUACAAUGCUACGGACAAAGGGCAGCAAGCUCGCGAGAGUUAGCAAAUCCCAUAAACCGUGGCUCAGUUCAGAUCGUAGGCUGCAACUCGCCUACGUGAAGGAGGGAUCGCUAGUAAUCGCAGGUCAGCAUACUGCGGUGAAUACGUUCCCGGGCCUUGUACACACCGCCCGUCACACCAUGGAAGUUGGCCACGCCCGAAGCCGUUACUCCAACCCUUGUGGAGGAGGACGUCGAAGGUGGGGCUGAUGACUGGGGUGAAGUCGUAACAAGGUAACCAAGGGCGAAUUCGCGGC